Molecule: transfer RNA, 76 nt
Filed under: bacterium
Lineage: Bacteria
Also listed under: 3 other names
Description: tRNA-Thr
Rfam family: tRNA
About the family: Transfer RNA (tRNA) molecules are approximately 80 nucleotides in length. Their secondary structure includes four short double-helical elements and three loops (D, anti-codon, and T loops). Further hydrogen bonds mediate the characteristic L-shaped molecular structure. tRNAs have two regions of fundamental functional importance: the anti-codon, which is responsible for specific mRNA codon recognition, and the 3' end, to which the tRNAs corresponding amino acid is attached (by aminoacyl-tRNA synthetases). tRNAs cope with the degeneracy of the genetic code in two manners: having more than one tRNA (with a specific anti-codon) for a particular amino acid; and 'wobble' base-pairing, i.e. permitting non-standard base-pairing at the 3rd anti-codon position.
Source: RNAcentral
GCCGGAGUAGCUCAGUGGCCAGAGCAGCCGACUUGUAAUCGGCAGGUCAGGGGUUCGACUCCCCUCUCCGGCUCCA